Lathyrus oleraceus (garden pea) is the source of this 1235-nucleotide long non-coding RNA. RefSeq lists it as uncharacterized. NCBI's taxonomy places the organism in Eukaryota, Viridiplantae, Streptophyta, Magnoliopsida, Fabales, Fabaceae. The transcript has 3 exons. The record is from RefSeq and is a predicted model, not a curated record.
UGGGUCGGUAACAGGUUUUGGUCACAGUUUAGACUCCUGUUUUAGGAUUAUUUCUCAUACCUUUGUUUACUAUAAAUUCAUAGUGGUUUUCCUUCUGACCCGUAACUCCAUCUUGGCAGGUUUAUGGAAUUGUUCCUUAUCGUUGGUUAUGCCUGUUCGCACGACAACGAUGUCUCUACUUGAUUACAGCUUAUUUUGCUACUAGUGAACCGGUUUCCUUCAAGCAAAAAUUUGAAGCUUGGGAAUUAAGGACCAACUGCUGCUUACGAUUUCUUGCGACCUGCUUCAAUGUGCCAUUGACAUUUUAGCUUGGUGUAACCGAUGACCUUGAUCUAAUUAUCCUGUAUUGCAAGACUUAUGUCCUGCGUGUUCCUCGGCUCAUUUAUGGUGUGCCUGCUCUUCUGCAUAUGGUUCUAGUUGCAGCUUCAUGUUGUUUGGCUUUGUUUGCUGGUGUGUAUGUAGGAUUUGCAGCAAGUCCGUGAUGACCAAAACUGAGAUGUCGAGAGUCCUGAUUUUUCCAGGUUGUUUUCUACAGCAUAUGAUGGUCUGGAUGAGGCUUUAUACUUAUUAACUAUGUUCUUCCUGGGAUCAUACAUUGCAAACGUGUUCGUAGAGCCUCCCAAAUGUCUCUGCUUCUCAAGAAAAGUUACAACUAGUUGCACCAGCUGUUCUGGUUGUAGGGAUCCCACAGGGGUUGGAGGAUCAAAAUCUCAUUUCCUGAUGUGAUGACAUGCUGUUACUGCCAAAUGGUAUACCAGAAAUUCCGCUGGAAUGUUGAGUUGAAUUUAUUCAUAUUGGGUGACGCUCCUUAGCAAUAGGUUCAACAACACCACUAAAUAGACAUGAAGACAAAGCUCUGUUAGAGUUGAAGUUAUGCGGAUUGUUAGGAAGCCGGUUUGGCCCUAAUGUCCGUGGUUGGAUUGAUAAAGAAAACAUUCCAGGAUUGCUGUCAUGGAUACAAGUACAUGGUCGAUGAAGAUUGUGUGUCAUAGGGUUUUUACAAACUCCAGUCGGUCUGAUGCGAAUGGUCAAAUAGAGUUUGGAUAAAAGCUUGGAGUUUUCUUGAAAUCUGUCAUUUUAAGUUCAAAAGACAGCUGAGGAUUUUGCUUCACUUCUUGUAAUGAAUUUACCUUAACAAUUGUAUGAUAUGGCUUGACUGAGUAACUGUAUUAAAGGUUAAUUUGUAAACAGUCUGAUAUAACAGAAUUCUAAUUUUGAAAUGUGAACUUUUCUUC